RNAcentral lists this ribosomal RNA (301 nucleotides) under uncultured bacterium. RNAcentral's name for it is "partial 16S ribosomal RNA". It matches the Rfam family "Bacterial small subunit ribosomal RNA", at positions 509 to 809 of the family's 1533-position model. The record is from RNAcentral.
CAGUAGCCGCGGUAAUACGUAGGGUGCGAGCGUUGUCCGGAAUUAUUGGGCGUAAAGAGCUUGUAGGCGGUUUGUCGCGUCUGCUGUGAAAUCCCGAGGCUCAACCUCGGGCGUGCAGUGGGUACGGGCAGACUAGAGUGCGGUAGGGGAGAAUGGAACUCCUGGUGUAGCGGUGGAAUGCGCAGAUAUCAGGAAGAACACCGAUGGCGAAGGCAGUUCUCUGGGCCGUAACUGACGCUGAGAAGCGAAAGCGUGGGGAGCGAACAGGAUUAGAGACCCCCGUAGUCCCUGUCUCUUAUAA